Molecule: ribosomal RNA, 95 nt
Filed under: Escherichia coli
Lineage: Bacteria; Pseudomonadati; Pseudomonadota; Gammaproteobacteria; Enterobacterales; Enterobacteriaceae
Description: partial 16S ribosomal RNA
Rfam family: Bacterial small subunit ribosomal RNA (bases 1-83)
Source: RNAcentral
CGCUUACCACUUUGUGAUUCAUGACUGGGGUGAAGUCGUAACAAGGUGACCGUAGGGGAACCUGCGGUUGGAUCACCUCCUUACCUUAAAGAAGC